RNAcentral lists this ribosomal RNA (283 nucleotides) under uncultured bacterium. Its description in RNAcentral is "partial 16S ribosomal RNA". It matches the Rfam family "Bacterial small subunit ribosomal RNA", at positions 28 to 333 of the family's 1533-position model. The record is from RNAcentral.
GAUAAACGCUGGCGGCGUGCCUAACACAUGCAAGUCGAACGCCCUGGAGCAAUUCAGGGAGUGGCGGACGGGUGAGGAACACGUGGGUGAUCUGCCUUGAGGUGAGGAAUACCGGCGAGAAAUCGCCGACAAUACCGCAUAGGUUCGUAAGAACAAAGUCGCAAGACGCCUUGAGAUGAGCCUGCGUCCGAUUAGCCAGUUGGUGGGGUAAUGGCCUACCAAAGCAGCGAUCGGUAGCUGGUCUGAGAGGACGAUCAGCCACACUGGGAUUGAGAACGGCCCA